Molecule: ribosomal RNA, 465 nt
Filed under: uncultured bacterium
Lineage: Bacteria
Description: partial 16S ribosomal RNA
Rfam family: Bacterial small subunit ribosomal RNA
Source: RNAcentral
CCUACGGGUGGCAGCAGUGGGGAAUUUUGGACAAUGGGCGCAAGCCUGAUCCAGCUAUUCCGCGUGUGGGAUGACGGCCUUCGGGUUGUAAACCACUUUUGUAGAGAACGAAAAGUCUGUUGAUAAUACCGAUAGAUGAUGACGGUACUCUAAGAAUAAGCACCGGCUAACUACGUGCCAGCAGCCGCGGUAAUACGUAGGGUGCGAGCGUUAAUCGGAAUUACUGGGCGUAAAGGGUGUGCAGGCGGUUUUGCAAGAUGGAUGUGAAAGCCCCGGGCUUAACCUGGGAAAGCCAUCCAUGACUGCAAGACUAGCGUGCGUCAGAGGGGGGUGGAAUUCCAAGUGUAGCAGUGAAAUGCGUAGAUAUUUGGAAGAAAACAGAUGGCGAAGGCAGCCCCCUGGGACGCAACUGACGCUCAUACACGAAAGCGUGGGGAGCAAACAGGAUUAGAUACCCCAGUAGUC